GGAAGCAAAUCAGACUCAUCAGAUUCUGAAUUUUAAAAGCUGCUGAAUUUCUUACUUUGAAUUUUUUUUGCAUCAAAAUUACGUAUGUGAAUUUUUUAUGCCUGAAUUUAGCUCAUCAAAAUUCUAAAAACCAGUUAAAAAUUCAAUGUCUUCAAAAUUCACCAUCAAAAAAAUUCAAUGUUCAAAAUUCGCCAUCAAAAAAUUCAAUGUUCAAAAUUCGCCAUCAAAAAAUUCAAUGUUCAAAAUUCGCCAUCAAAAAAUUCAAUGUCAAAAAAUUCGCUGUCAAAAAAUUUGCUGUUCACAUCUGGGGGAAAUGCCACGUUGUUGCUCAUGGACUGGCUGAAGUAAGGCAGCAUCAGGAGACAAACAUGGAGGACAUAUGAGAACAGAGAGAACCCAACCAGCAGGUCACAGUUUAUCAUCAUCUAAUCAUCUCCUGAAGUCCAUAUGGUCCCUCUCUAUCUCCCCACACAUCCACCAACCACUGGAACACAUCUCCAAAGUUCUGCUGGACCAGCUCAGCUUCCCCUCAGAAGAAGUGCUGCCACCUGCCAGAUGAAGGAGCCUUUUGAGAGGCAGCUGGCAUCGUGAUUGGACUGUACUUUGGUCUGUUCCAAUCCAGCUUCAGCUCCAGAGACGGCAGACGGGACGAGUCAACGGAGGCCGGAUGGACGAAGACAUGCAGCUGAGUACAAUCCAGAAAACAACAGAGGAGGAGUGCAGCAGCCCAGAGCCAGAACAACCAGAGUAGCAUCAUAUGUCUCUUAGAAAACAUCAUAGUAGAGCCUUUGGUAUGAAAAAACACCAUCAUAUACAUCGUAUAUUGUACAAAUAACAAGUCAAAGGAAAGAGACAUACAUUGUAGAAUUGUAGUAAUUGUGGGCUGACUGAUUUACUGAUUAUCGGUAUUUUAUUUUUUGCUGAUUUACGGUAAUAAAUACAUUUAAAAAUGGC
This is a long non-coding RNA of Amphiprion ocellaris (clown anemonefish), 954 nucleotides long. RefSeq lists it as uncharacterized. The record is from RefSeq and is a predicted model, not a curated record. The transcript has 2 exons. NCBI's taxonomy places the organism in Eukaryota, Metazoa, Chordata, Actinopteri, Pomacentridae.